Aedes albopictus (Asian tiger mosquito) is the source of this 2241-nucleotide long non-coding RNA. RefSeq lists it as uncharacterized. The transcript has 3 exons. The record is from RefSeq and is a predicted model, not a curated record. Lineage: Eukaryota; Metazoa; Arthropoda; Insecta; Diptera; Culicidae.
AACCAGCAUAAAAUUUUCCCUAACCGGAGCCGAACCGCCCAGUGCAAAUUAUGCCUAACAUUAGGCUCACGUUAGCCAAAACAUAACUAACAAAGGGUCGAGCUCGAAAAUAUGUCUAACAAAAGUGUGUCAUAUUAGCCUGAAUUUUGUCGAACCUGAGCCUAACGUGAGGGAUUUUGUUAGCCUAACUGUCUCACGGGUUUGUCUUACAUUAGUCUCAUGUGACCCUAACGUUUCUUGCUGGGGCAGAAACGCGUAGAGAAACGCGAGAAGUAGUUUUGAAUAUAUUAAACCAACAAAAUGCAACUGAAAUUAUGUUGUGGUCAAUGUUACUGAUAAGGUUGUCAGGUCAGAUGUUUGUUGACAGGAAAACACUUAUUGGAUUUCGGAGUGAAUUGUUUGAAGAUAAAAAUACUUUUUUGUUUGAAAAACGAUUGUUUGAAGAAAAAAAAAACAUUGUGAAACGUUGUAAUUAAUCGACAUUUACCCGACAAAGAUGUCGAUGUUUAAAAUUGCCGGACUACGACGCCCUUAAGAAUCAUUGUCAUUGUUUCGAUUUCCGAGCUAACCAUGAGGAUUUCUAGUCUUAUACGGCUUGAUUCUACUGAGCAGUUACUGAAAAUUCCCGGCAGUUGAUCUAAUGCGGACAGCGGAAGGGCUUCAUUGUGCUGAAUCUAGAGGAGAAAACCAAAUACCGUCAAACGGGGUUACUUGCAACAGCGGUGUAACUUGCAACACGAUGACAUACAUUAAAUGUGAACUAUUUUCUCAUAAUAAUGAAAGCUAGUAUGCUCCACUAUUCCGGUUAUCAAAAUUACCAAAGAUAGUACCAAAGAUCGUUUUAGUGGAAAAAUCAGUUUUGUUUCUUUGUUUAUUGCUUAGCUACACUGUUAAAACGGUUUGCUAAUUUUAUGUCAUAUAAACAAGUAUGAAAAUCGUUCUUUACCUCUCUCCUAUGGUAAGUGUGAUAAGCUUGAUGACCUUGCUUGCAGUUAGGGUACCUAAUAGUAAGCUUAGUUGAAAAAUAAAAGAUUGAUAAACUUAUCGACUAACUAAUGAAAAAAAUCAUUAUCAUUUUCGACAACCGCUAUGGGGUAACUUGCAACAGUUGAAAUUAACAAAUUUUUCUAUAAUUUACUUUCAGUUCACGAUACUUUAGAUAGAAAUAAUUAAAAUGGAUCAUUUAUUAACUACGUAACGUGCUCAUAUUCAAAUAUCGACUCAAUUUCACUAUUUUUUGCACGUGAUUUUCAAACAUAGUUAAGGACAUUCAAAUUUUGACAUUUGAGAUCUGCUGUGAAAAAAUAUACUCUCGCUCUUAUAAUAAUUACCAACUCUUUAAUGAAAAAUCGUAUUCCAGUUGAUUAAUGUACAUCUUUUCAAAGCAUUUUUCACAAACUUAUAAUACAACCAAGAAUUAGAAUGCUAGUGCAGUUUGAUGGUAGCUAACUUAGCUUCAUGUCAUGUGUUGCAAGUAACCCCACAAAUGGGGUAACUUGCAACAAGCAUGUAUUUCGCACCUCCUGAUAAAGUGGCAACGUAUUUUGGUAAUUGAUGUCCUGCAUAGUAUUCUACUCGUGGUAAUUAGUGUACAAGAUGGUUUAAAGUUUAGAUUUUCAAUGAUAUUGUUUCAAAGUCGAAAAGUGUUGCAAGUUACCCCAUUUGACGGUACUGCUCGUACCAAUUACGAGCAAAGUACGCAAAGUAUGAUCAGAUUGAAUUUUAGAGUAUAACUUUAAAUAUGUAUUACUAUUUGUUUAGAAUUAUUUGUAUUUCUGUGUGUUUAUAAAAAUAAAAUAAUAUGGAAUAAAACUGUUCCAUUCCAAAUAACAAUAUAGUACUGCAAAAAUACAACCACGCUGCAGUAAAUCUGAAAUAGUCAAAAUUACUAUCUUCUGUUGUAUAUUUAACUGAUGAAUAAUGCACUCAAUAGUAGAGACAACAACCUUUACAGCAAUUCAGAAAAUAGCAAAAAAAUACUAUAUUUCUUCUUAUCAGAGGCGUCUCGUGACCCGUAGAAGUGACUGUGCACUUGAAGAGUUUUCACAUGGGACUGUAGUGCAAAUGGAAAACAUCAGGAACCUGCGCUCCGCUCGACGAGCGAAUUUAUCAACGAUUUCGUCGAUAAAGCUGCUUUGUUAUUUCAAUUGAUGCAACAGGGGGUUUCUAUCGCCAUCUGUAUAAGCCUCUUCAGCCUUUGCUCACCCAUUGUAACCGAAGAUAGGUUCUUAUUCCUUUGUG